This 68-nucleotide transfer RNA is filed under the name Cryptolithodes sitchensis. RNAcentral's name for it is "tRNA-Ser". The record is from RNAcentral. Lineage: Eukaryota; Metazoa; Arthropoda; Malacostraca; Decapoda; Lithodidae.
AAAUUAGAGAUUCAUGCCAAAGAAAAGCUUCUAACUUUUCACUUGAGUGGUUUAAUUCCAUUCAUUUC